AAUAAAGUUAGUACGACCCGGUUAAUAUAGUAAUACCCUCUAAUUACAAGCUCGUUUUAAUUUAUAAAAUAUUGAAUUAGUAAAAUUAAAGUUGUAACAAAUAUGGUUAUUCCGUAAAUAAAAAAAAAAAAAAUAUGGUUAUAUGUCUCAUCAAAAUUCGAAUUUACAGAGUAACUAUUAUUAAUACAUAGUAUACAUGUUCGCCUAUUAUUCAUUCACAUCUCA
This 225-nucleotide long non-coding RNA is filed under the name Salvia miltiorrhiza (redroot sage). Its description in RNAcentral is "long non-coding RNA (SMIL_LNC002028)". The record is from RNAcentral. Lineage: Eukaryota; Viridiplantae; Streptophyta; Magnoliopsida; Lamiales; Lamiaceae.